GUACACGCUGUGACUAGCAUAUCAAUAAGCGGAGGAAAAGAAACUAACAAGGAUUCCCCUAGUAACGGCGAGUGAAGCGGGAAGAGCUCAAAUUUGAAAUCUUAAAGGGUUUCCCUUUACGAAUUGUAGUUUAAAGAAGUGUUUUCUGUUGAGGUUUUGGUAAAAGUUCUUUGGAAUAGGACAUCAUAGAGGGUGAGAAUCCCGUAUUUGACCUUUACUUUCAACUUUGUGAUACACUUUCAAAGAGUCGGAUUGUUUGGGAAUGCAGUCCAAAAUGGGUGGUAAAUUUCAUCUAAAGCUAAAUAUUGGCGAGAGACCGAUAGCGAACAAGUACCGUGAGGGAAGAGAUGAAAAGAACUUUGAAAAGAGAGUUAAACAGUACGUGAAAUUGUCAAAAGGGAAGCGUUUGACACCAGUGUUGUUUUUCUGAAAAUCAAUUAAAGAACUGUUUAUGCUAAGUUGUUAUAGACUUUAUCAGCUAACUGUUUAGUUUUGAGCUUUUCUUUAAUGCACUUUUCAGUUAACAAGUCAACAUCAAUUUCUUUUGCUGUAAAAAAGCUUGAGGAAGGUGGCUUGAGAUUCGUCUUAAGUGUUUAUAGCCUCUUGCCUAUGCAGUCGGAGAGAUUGAGGUCUGCAGCGUAGAUCCUUCGGGGCUAAAUGCAUUUGUGCUAAGUUAUAGCAUUUUAUAGACAACUUGUUGACUAUGAUUUGUCUUGUAGCUUACUCGCUUAUGUUAUUUUACCUACGCUUAGGAUGUUGAAGAUGUAGCACAUCAU
Molecule: ribosomal RNA, 776 nt
Filed under: uncultured Neocallimastigales
Lineage: Eukaryota; Fungi; Neocallimastigomycota; Neocallimastigomycetes; Neocallimastigales
Description: partial large subunit ribosomal RNA
Rfam family: Eukaryotic large subunit ribosomal RNA
Source: RNAcentral